Molecule: long non-coding RNA, 1041 nt
Filed under: Sus scrofa (pig)
Lineage: Eukaryota; Metazoa; Chordata; Mammalia; Artiodactyla; Suidae
Description: lncRNA (ENSSSCG00070023376.1)
Source: RNAcentral
AUGGUGAUGAGCUCGUGGCUUUCUUUUAUUCUCACACGCACAGUCGCUGGAGGCAGAAACAAACACAGAGCCCCGCAGAGUUCGCCCCCAGAUCUGCCCGCCCCUCGGUCCCACCCCUCCAGCCCCGCCUCCCUCUCCCACCGCUUCCUCCCUCCCCUUCACCUCCUCAGGGUCCUCGGCUGCCCCCGUGCGGCCUUUCUCGGUACUGCAUCAGCCCGCCCGGGUUACCCAGUCCUUGGCCCCCGCGUCCAUUGCAAAGGUGAGGCGCUGCGUCAUCCAUCUCCUGGCCUCGGGCGGGCAAGCCGUCGUCUCCAAACCCUCAAAGACUUCAUCAUUCUCGGAGACCAGCCUCAACUCUUACGUAUGGCUCCGGAUCCUUCUUGCUGCUUUCCAGGCUGCUGGCAGGAGCCGCGGAAGCAGCACUGCACCCUGCUGGCUGGGGCGGCCAUGCAGGCAGCAGGGAGGUGGGCACAGGAUGCACUUGAGAGAGACGAUCACCUAUGGAACGGGGGCCUCUGGGAGUGGCCAGACACACACACACACAAGCACCCACACGCCCAGGCCGCCAGGUGCACACACACAGGCACACACACCCGAAAGCACCAAGUGCCCAUGUGUGCACCUGUCCCUGUCACGCACAGCGCCAUCACUGCCCAGUCAGCCCCAUUUUCCCUCUGUCCCUCCUGUGCCGUGUUCCCCCUCCACCCCUCUCCCGCCCACGACCUAAGGAAACCAGUGCUUACUGUAAACUGCAAAUACAAAUUCCUUUCCACGCCUAAAGCCUCGGAUCACCUAGCCCGCCCCUCAGACCUCAUCUCCCACCCCCAUGCCCUCGCCCAUUACUCACUAUUUCUCCAGCAAACACAUGGCUUCAGGCCCCUCGCGCUUCUGUUUCCUCUUCGGGAAGUGUUCUUCCCCCAGGUCCUCCAGUGCCUGCCUCCUCCCUGUCUUUUAGGCCCAGUUUAUUUUAUUUUUGUCUUUUUAGGGCCACACCCACAGCAUAUGGAGGUUCCCAGGCUAGGGGUCGAAUUAGAGCUGUAA